CGCCGCGCUCUGGCCCGGGCGGCCCCUUUAAGGGCAGCCAGGCCGCGAGGGCCCCCUUGCUGGAGGGACGCGCGGGCGCCCCAGCGGACACCGUUUGGGCAGAGAGGGUCCCCGGGCGGGGGAUGGGCGCUCCCGGGAGGCGGUCCCGACUGAGCAUGCUCAGUCGAGGGUCCGACUGCGGCGCGGACUGAAGGUGCACGCCAGCGCCCAGCGGAGGGAGAGAGAAGCCAGGAGUCUCCCCCCCCAAGACACCAUGGAAAAGUACCAGAUUUUGGACCGGCUGACUCCGGGGGCCUUGGGGACGAACCUGGUGGUGGUGGAGACGCAAACCAAAGAAAAGCAUGUGAUAAAGCAGGUGGAGUGCAUCGAUGAGCAUCAGGCCACCAAAGCCCUGGAGGAGGUAACGUUCUGGGCGUUCCCUCUCUAGAGGGCGUGCUGCAGGACCCACCGACUGUUCUGCCCCCUCCUGUGCAGUGAUGGGGGGAAGGGAGCCUGGCAGAGGCGGGGAGCUCAGAACCAGCUCUUUCCCGGUCCCGUGCAGCCAGAAGCCCCCCGGUCAUGAGGGGAGUCUGUGCCCCAAACACGCACUUCUAAAUCCAGGUACUGACCCCUUAGAAGACGUGUUCUCAGAGGAGAUAAGCUUGAAAUGACGGCCAGGUUCCUGGGCUCAUCUACCAUAACCACCUUUAGAGCUGCACCCGAGGCACACGGACAUUCCCGGGCUAGGGGUCGAAUCAGAGCUACGGCUGCCGGCCUACACCACAGCCACAGCAACGCAGAAUCCGAGCCACAUCUGUGACCUACGCCACAGCUCACGGCAACGCUGGAUCCCCGACCCACUAAGCAAGGCCAAGGAUUGAACUCACAUCUUCCCAGCUUCUAGUCAGAUUCAUUUUUGCUGCACCACAACAAGAACUCCUACCAUAACCUUCUUUUAAAAGAUCUUUUUCUUCAAUUAUAAAAGUACCAGUUACAAUCGAAAAAUUGGGAAAUAGUGAAUUAUUUAACAAAGAAAAUGUAAACUCUUUCACAUUCCUUAAACCUGCCAGUCGGGACUGAUAGUAACAUCCUGGUUUAUGGUAACAACAAGAACAGCUGGGAGCUCCCAUCGUGGCUCACUAGUUAAUGAACCCGAUUAGGAUCCAUGAGGAUGUGGGUUCGAUCCCUGGCCUCGCUCAGUGGGUUAAGGAUCCGGCGUUGCUGUGAGCUGUGGUGUAGGUUGCAGAUGCAGCUCGGAUCUGGCGUGGCUGUGGUGUAGGCUGGCAGCUACAGCUCUGAUUCGACCUCUGGCCUGGGAGCCUCCAUGUGCCACGGGUGUGGCCCUAAAAGACAAAAGA
This 1337-nucleotide long non-coding RNA is filed under the name Sus scrofa (pig). RNAcentral's name for it is "lncRNA (ENSSSCG00050035352.1)". The record is from RNAcentral. Lineage: Eukaryota; Metazoa; Chordata; Mammalia; Artiodactyla; Suidae.